Molecule: ribosomal RNA, 445 nt
Filed under: uncultured bacterium
Lineage: Bacteria
Description: partial 16S ribosomal RNA
Rfam family: Bacterial small subunit ribosomal RNA
Source: RNAcentral
GUAGGGAAUAUUGGGCAAUGGAGGCAACUCUGACCCAGCCAUGCCGCGUGCAGGAUGACGGCCCUCUGGGUUGUAAACUGCUUUUAUACGGGAAGAAAAAAUACUACGUGUAGUAUACUGACGGUACCAUAAGAAUAAGGAUCGGCUAACUCCGUGCCAGCAGCCGCGGUAAUACGGAGGAUCCAAGCGUUGUCCGGAUUUAUUGGGUUUAAAGGGUGCGUAGGAGGAUCUUUAAGUCAGUGGUGAAAGCCUGCAGCUUAACUGUAGAAUUGCCAUUGAAACUGAAGAUCUUGAAUGUGGUUAAAGUAGGCGGAAUGUAUCAUGUAGCGGUGAAAUGCUUAGAUAUGAUACAGAACACCGAUAGCGAAGGCAGCUAGCUGAACCAUUAUUGACGCUGAGGCACGAAAGCGUGGGGAGCGAACAGGAUUAGAAACCCUAGUAGUCC